RNAcentral lists this ribosomal RNA (560 nucleotides) under uncultured bacterium. RNAcentral's name for it is "bacterial SSU rRNA". It matches the Rfam family "Bacterial small subunit ribosomal RNA", at positions 338 to 916 of the family's 1533-position model. The record is from RNAcentral.
CCUACGGGAGGCAGCAGUGGGGAAUAUUGCACAAUGGGCGCAAGCCUGAUGCAGCAACGCCGCGUGAAUGAUGAAGGCCUUCGGGUCGUAAAGUUCUGUCCUAAGGGAAGAAUACAGUGACGGUACCUUAGGAGGAAGCCCCGGCUAACUACGUGCCAGCAGCCGCGGUAAUACGUAGGGGGCAAGCGUUAUCCGGAAUCACUGGGCGUAAAGGGAGCGUAGGCGGUUUGACAAGCCAGAGGUGAAAGGCAAUAGCUUAACUAUUGUAAGCCUUUGGAACUGUCGAACUUGAGUGUAGGAGAGGAAAGUGGAAUUCCUAGUGUAGCGGUGAAAUGCGUAGAUAUUAGGAGGAACACCAGUGGCGAAGGCGACUUUCUGGACUAUAACUGACGCUGAGGCUCGAAAGCGUGGGGAGCAAACAGGAUUAGAUACCCUGGUAGUCCACGCUGUAAACGAUGAAUACUAGGUGUCUGGGGUCAAACCUAGGUGCCGCAGCUAACGCAUUAAGUAUUCCGCCUGGGGAGUACGCACGCAAGUGUGAAACUCAAAGGAAUUGACGG